This 603-nucleotide long non-coding RNA is filed under the name Mytilus galloprovincialis (Mediterranean mussel). Lineage: Eukaryota; Metazoa; Mollusca; Bivalvia; Mytilida; Mytilidae. The record is from RNAcentral.
UUUUAUUUAUAUAAAUAUGUUGUAUGUGUAAACCAAAUUUAUUUAUACCUGCAUAUACACAAGUUUAAGGUGGGAAACUCCCUCUUUUUCAUUAAUAUGUUUUAUACACCCCACUCUUUUGAUGUCUAUCUGCAAAGGAGGUCAAGGUAUUUUUCUUUGAAUGUUAACAAAAAUAUCAGCCUUCCCAUCAUUUGAGUUGUUUAAUGGUAUUUCUAUUAUUUAUUUUUUAAUGAAUUACAAAUAUGGUUUUACACAAAUUUGUUUAUAAUGUAGUAAAAAGAUUUUCAAUCUCAUGGAGAAUGUUGUUACAUUUGUAUAACUAAUUAUCUGCAUGUAUUGUUAUAUUUGAUUUCAUACUUAUUCUUAAUUAAGAUAAAGAAUGUAUCUUUGUACAAAAUUUGUAUGACAAUAGGUUGUGUUGUAUAAUUACCCUUUUUAAGGAAAGGUAGAAAAGGGGGGACAACUCACACUUUGUAUGUCCAAAAGGUUGACAGGUAUGAAUAUUCAUGAUUUGUUUCAGAUCACUCUGAUUGAAUGAAUUGUGUGAUUUUUAUUAUAUAAUUUAUGUCAAAAUGAAUUAAAAAAAAAAAAUGUUAAAACCAA